RNAcentral lists this ribosomal RNA (235 nucleotides) under uncultured bacterium. RNAcentral describes it as "partial 16S ribosomal RNA". It matches the Rfam family "Bacterial small subunit ribosomal RNA", at positions 977 to 1208 of the family's 1533-position model. The record is from RNAcentral.
AGCCCUUGACAUGUCCCGUAUGGAUUCCAGAGACGGAGUCCUUCAGUUCGGCUGGCGGGAACACAGGUGCUGCAUGGCUGUCGUCAGCUCGUGUCGUNAGAUGUUGGGUUAAGUCCCGCAACGAGCGCAACCCUCGGCCUUAGUUGCCAUCAUUCAGUUGGGCACUCUAAGGCGACUGCCGGUGAUAAGCCGGAGGAAGGUGGGGAUGACGUCAAGUCCUCAUGGCCCUUACGGG